UGGGGAAUUUUGCGCAAUGGGGGAAACCCUGACGCAGCAACGCCGCGUGGACGAUGAAGGCCUUUGGGUCGUAAAGUCCUGUCAGCAGGGAAAAACAAAAUGAUGGUACCUGCAGAGGAAGCUCCGGCUAACUUCGUGCCAGCAGCCGCGGUAAUACGAGGGGAGCAAGCGUUGUUCGGAAUCAUUGGGCGUAAAGGGCGCGUAGGCGGCAGUACAAGUCUGGGGUGAAAGCCCUCGGCUUAACCGAGGAAUUGCCUUGGAAACUGUACAGCUUGAGUAUUGGAGAGGAAAGCGGAAUUCCCAGUGUAGCGGUGAAAUGCGUAGAUAUUGGGAGGAACACCGGUGGCGAAGGCGGCUUUCUGGACAAUCACUGACGCUGAGGCGCGAAAGCCAGGGGAGCAAACGGGAUUAGAUACCCCCGUAGUCC
Molecule: ribosomal RNA, 427 nt
Filed under: uncultured bacterium
Lineage: Bacteria
Description: bacterial SSU rRNA
Rfam family: Bacterial small subunit ribosomal RNA
Source: RNAcentral